GGGUGUUACAAACUCUACCCCGCUUAAAAGAAUCUCGUCCUCGAGAUUGAAUAGUGCAUAAACAAACAGCUGUGGAUAUGCUUCUCUCUGAUCAUCCUCUCUUUCCCCAGUUGCUUGUGUCUCUAAAUACCAAUUCCAUUGUGCUAGCAAUCUCAACAUCUCUGGUUAGGUAGCAUACCUGGUAGCUUUUUUGAGAAAUCACCUAGAAAUUUAUUCAAUGCACUCUCCGGGAAAUCAAUAUCAUCAUCCAGCUGGUUCACUGUAGCUGUGGGUGGAGCCUGUACUGUACGUCAACACUUAUUCUCUCUCCCUUUGGUGUUGUCACAACUACUACUUUCUCUUUGCACUUAAUUUCCGUAGCAUAUUUCUUCAUCCAAACCAAACCCAAUA
Molecule: long non-coding RNA, 390 nt
Filed under: Sorghum bicolor (sorghum)
Lineage: Eukaryota; Viridiplantae; Streptophyta; Magnoliopsida; Poales; Poaceae
Description: long non-coding RNA (SBIC_LNC010970)
Source: RNAcentral